UUUGGGUAUUUCACCCUCUACUCCCAUGAUCUUGUGCAAAUAAAACCAAAACCAAAGAAUAACCGAAGAAAGCUUCUCUUUCUGAAUCGCUUCUCUCCCUCUCUCUUUCUCUCUCCCUCUCUCUGUUUCUCAGAAAACAACGGCGAUUUCACUACGUACGGCUCCAGCUCUCUCAACAAAUCCGGCGGUUGGGCUCCGACAAAGACGGUUUGGAUCCGGUAACAAAAUAACGGCGAUUUCACUCCGGCUCCAGCUCUCUCAACAAAUCCGGCGGUUGGGCUCCAACAAAGACGAUUUGGAUCCGAGAGAGGAGAAGUGGCAGUCUAGGUGUAUCAAAGAGGUAAUCAUUCAUAAAAAAAAAUUGAUUUAUUUUUUUGUAGUGUUUAUUUAUGUGCUUCAUUUUUUUUUUUUUUUUCCGUGGGUUUUGUAUGGAUUUUUGACAAUUUUUUGAGUGGAUUUUGUUUGAAACAGGUGUAUGAAAGAGGCAAAGAUUCAUAAAAAAAGUUGAUUUCUUUUUUGGUAGAGUUUAUUUAUGUGCUUCAUGAUUUUUUUUCGUGGGUUUUGUAUGGAUUUUUUUUUUGUUAGUUUGCCUGUGUUCUUCAGUUUUGGAAGAUGUGCUUAACAGAGAUUUGGUGCGGUUCAUGCACAGUAACGGUGAAAGAAAGAGAAGGUGAGGGUUUAAUUUCUGUUGUGCUCUCUGGGUUUCUUGAGUUUGGUGGGUUUUUGACAAUUCUUUCGGUGGGUUUUGUUUGAAACAGAGGUGUAUCAAAGAGAUCAGAGUAUGAAUUUUAUAGCUAAAUUUUCGAUUUGAUGGGUUUUGUUUAAUUUUUUUUCUUGGCUGCUUCUUCGAUUGUCCAGAGCAGAGAGGUAAGAUUGAAGAUACUUCAAAAUUCUCCUUGUGUUGAGACUCUGAAAUUUUUUGAGAUUUAUCUGUUCUCCGAUUAUGAGAAGGAUGAUAUAAUAUUGGAUCAUGUGCCUCCAUGUUUCUUGUCCCAUAUCAAGCGCAUUCAAGUCGGUAAUUGUGAUGGAGAUGAGAAUGAGCUUUUUGCGGUAAAGAUUUUGCUCAAGAAUGCAAUUGUCUUGGAAGAAAUAGUUAUAACUUGCUCAAAGGAUUGUGCAGGGAACUUAGUGAAGCAAAAAAAUUUCUACAAACAGUUGAUAGAACUCCCUAAAGGAUCACAAAAUUGUAAAAUCGUUUUGAAAUGAGCUUUUAUUGAGCUCUUACUCUAGAAAAAGCUAUUGAAUUAAUUCCUGUUUCUUGGAAGAUGUAAAAGUAUGGCUUGUUGGCCUUCUACCCUAUCUUGGCAACUUGCUAUUAUGGAAUGUUCGUUCGUGCUAUUUGGUGAUAAUUAGUUUUGAAUCCUCCAAGUUAUAAGCUUAUACUCAA
Molecule: non-coding RNA, 1387 nt
Organism: Corylus avellana
Lineage: Eukaryota; Viridiplantae; Streptophyta; Magnoliopsida; Fagales; Betulaceae
Source: RefSeq, a predicted model, not a curated record